GAGGAGUUUUAUUCUUGCUUUUUCGUUCAGUGUUUGUUUGUUUUAUAUGUAAGUUUGUGCGUGGUUAUGUCUUUUAUCUCUAGAUGGGGUAUAGAGGUUUUAAUUUUAUUUCAUUCUCAUUAGUUAUUAUUGGUUGGUCAAGUAUUUUUGUAUUUAGCAAUUCAUUUUAGUUUCGGUUAAAUUUUGUGCCAGCAGCCGCGGUUAUACCUUGGAGGCGUUUGAAUGUGUUCGGCAAUUGUAGUUUUAUGUUGAAUUUGUUGAUUUUAAUAUUUUGGUUUGUAGGUGAAAUUUUUAUUGAUUGUUUAUUGUCUUAUUUUAUUUUGUAGGCUAUUAAAUUCCUUUUUUAGACUAGGAUUAGAUACCCUAUUAUUUUGGAACGUUAAUUUUAUUUGUCUGAGUAGUAUUAGUUAUGUUCUUGAAACUUAAAGAAUUUGGCGGUAUCUUAUUCCAUCCAGAGGAAUCUGUCUCGUUAUCGAUAGUCCGCGUUGGACCUUACUUAGUUGCUUUGGUUUGUAUACCGCCGUUUAUUGAUUAUCUUUUUAGAGUUUAAUAAUUUUCUGGUUUCUUUAUUUUGAUUUAUUUCAGGUCAAGGUGCAGCUUGUUUCUAAGUGUAUGAUGGAUUACAUUGUUAUUAGUUUUUAUUGGAUUGUUAGUUUUUAUAUUAAUAUGAAAUUGGAUUUGGUUGUAAUGUUUUGUAGAUUGUUUUCAUGAUAAUUGGUUCUGGGAUAUGUACACAUCGCCCGUCGCUCUCGUUUAUUUUAAUGAGAUAAGUCGUAACAAAGUGGUUGUACCGGAAGGUGCAGCUGGAUUGAU
Molecule: non-coding RNA, 813 nt
Filed under: Alyscotermes sp. CAM159
Lineage: Eukaryota; Metazoa; Arthropoda; Insecta; Blattodea; Termitidae
Source: RNAcentral